GUAGUACUCCCUCCGUCUGGAAUUACUUGUCACGAAAAUGAAUGGAAAUGGAUGUAUCUAGAACUAAAAUAUGUCUAGAUACAUCCAUUUCUGGGACAAGUAUUUCCGGACGGAGGGAGUAGAUG
Molecule: non-coding RNA, 125 nt
Organism: Triticum aestivum (bread wheat)
Lineage: Eukaryota; Viridiplantae; Streptophyta; Magnoliopsida; Poales; Poaceae
Source: Rfam